GGCGGCAGGCUUAACACAUGCAAGUCGAGCGGUAGCAGAUCUAGCUUGCUAGAUGCUGACGAGCGGCGGACGGGUGAGUAACGCGUAGGAACCUGCCCAGUAGUGGGGGAUAGCCCGGGGAAACUCGGAUUAAUACCGCAUACGCUCUACGGAGGAAAAGAGGGGGCUUCGGGCUCUCGCUAUUGGAUGGGCCUGCGUGAGAUUAGCUAGUUGGUGAGGUAAUGGCUCACCAAGGCGACGAUCUCUAGCUGGUCUGAGAGGAUGAUCAGCCACACUGGGACUGAGACACGGCCCAGACUCCUACGGGAGGCAGCAGUGGGGAAUAUUGCACAAUGGGCGCAAGCCUGAUGCAGCCAUGCCGCGUGUGUGAAGAAGGCUUUCGGGUUGUAAAGCACUUUCAGUGGGGAGGAAGGCCUCGUAGUUAAUAGCUGCGAGGAUUGACGUUACCCACAGAAGAAGCACCGGCUAACUCCGUG
Molecule: ribosomal RNA, 476 nt
Filed under: uncultured bacterium
Lineage: Bacteria
Description: bacterial SSU rRNA
Rfam family: Bacterial small subunit ribosomal RNA
Source: RNAcentral